Molecule: non-coding RNA, 82 nt
Filed under: Vibrio nigripulchritudo
Lineage: Bacteria; Pseudomonadati; Pseudomonadota; Gammaproteobacteria; Vibrionales; Vibrionaceae
Also listed under: 10 other names
Source: RNAcentral
GCCAAUUCUUAAUUCCGUUUGACACGACAUUGCUCACAUUGCUUCCAGUGUAAUUUAUAGCUUUUGGCAAGGUUGAAAAUUU